ACCGCCGCGCGCGCCGCUCUGAACUGUGGCCGCCUCCAUAUUGUCUAGUACCUUUGUUUCACUCGCACAUCGUGCAGCUCAUCACCGCCAGAUGUCACGCGCCUCUCACCGCUCCUCGUAACGCACCGCAAAACGCACCGCCAGUAGCUGUGGCAUACUUCAUAGGUUGUGUACCAUUUGUUUUCGCCGCUCCCGCUUGCCGCGCCUCACGACGCACCGCAAUUCGCACCGCUCUCGGCUGUGGCCAAGGGGUACAUACAACAAAAUGAAGACAUAUUCAACUGAAAAUCGGUACAAACUAUUCUACAAAAUUAUAUUUAAAAGUACACACAGGAAAAUGGUAUGCUCUCCAACAUAAAUGAAUAGUUACAACAAUAUUCACAUGAAUACUACCCACUUUUGAGUUUUGGUUAUAUUCUCUGAAUAGUUUCUUUUAUUAAUGUAUUCCUUAUUGUGAAAAUAAAUAAAUAAAA
Molecule: long non-coding RNA, 473 nt
Organism: Bombyx mori (domestic silkworm)
Lineage: Eukaryota; Metazoa; Arthropoda; Insecta; Lepidoptera; Bombycidae
Exons: 3
Source: RefSeq, a predicted model, not a curated record